AGAGAAGCAAGGAAGAAGAAACCCCAUAAAACCUGACGGCACAGGUUUAGUGAGGUGGAAGAAAUCACAGAAUUUCAAGAGGCAAAGAAUGCUGAAAGUAUAGACAUCUUUGGAAGAGACUGACUUCUAACGCUGCUGAUAGGAAGUCUAAUUGGAUUUUGAAGAUUGUGUGGCAUUCAUUGGGGAAAAAAAAAUCAAAGAUACAGCAGACUAAAGACAAACAACAUUUAUUUAUUUGUAACAGACUUUAUUUCAAAAGAACCUUAAGCCAAUGCCUGAUUUGAAUCUACAUCAACACCUUUGACAUAUAAGUGUAAACAACAUAAAUCACUCAUUUAA
Mastomys coucha (southern multimammate mouse) is the source of this 339-nucleotide long non-coding RNA. RefSeq lists it as uncharacterized. NCBI's taxonomy places the organism in Eukaryota, Metazoa, Chordata, Mammalia, Rodentia, Muridae. The record is from RefSeq and is a predicted model, not a curated record. The transcript has 2 exons.